This 301-nucleotide ribosomal RNA is filed under the name uncultured bacterium. Its description in RNAcentral is "partial 16S ribosomal RNA". It matches the Rfam family "Bacterial small subunit ribosomal RNA", at positions 509 to 807 of the family's 1533-position model. The record is from RNAcentral.
CAGCAGCCGCGGGAAUACGUAGGGUGCGAGCGUUAAUCGGAAUUACUGGGCGUAAAGCGUGCGCAGGCGGUUGUGUAAGACAGGUGUGAAAUCCCCGGGCUUAACCUGGGAACUGCGCUUGUGACUGCACAGCUAGAGUAUGGCAGAGGGGGGUGGAAUUCCACGUGUAGCAGUGAAAUGCGUAGAGAUGCGGAGGAACACCGAUGGCGAAGGCAGCCCCCUGGGCCAAUACUGACGCUCAUGCACGAAAGCGUGGGGAGCAAACAGGAUUAGAGACCCGAGUAGUCCCUGUCUCUUAUAC